AAAAAAGGUAAGCUACUAAGAGCGAAUGGUGGAUGCCUUGACUGGUAAAGGCGAUGAAGGACGUACUAGACUGCGAUAAGCUACGGGGAGCUGUCAAGAAGCUUUGAUCCGUAGAUUUCCGAAUGGGGCAACCCAAUGUAUAGAGAUAUACAUUACCUAUAUAGGAGCGAACGAGGGGAAUUGAAACAUCUUAGUACCCUCAGGAAAAGAAAUCAAUAGAGAUUGCGUCAG
Molecule: ribosomal RNA, 231 nt
Filed under: Campylobacter coli
Lineage: Bacteria; Pseudomonadati; Campylobacterota; Epsilonproteobacteria; Campylobacterales; Campylobacteraceae
Description: partial 23S ribosomal RNA
Rfam family: Bacterial large subunit ribosomal RNA
Source: RNAcentral